UACGUAGGGGGCAAGCGUUGUCCGGAAUCAUUGGGCGUAAAGCGCGUGUAGGCGGCUUGUCGCGUCUGCUGUGAAAUUUCGGGGCUCAACCCCGAACUUGCAGUGGGUACGGGCAGACUAGAGUGUGGUAGGGGAGACGGGAAUUCCUGGUGUAGCGGUGAAAUGCGCAGAUAUCAGGAGGAACACCGAUGGCGAAGGCAGGUCUCUGGGCCACUACUGACGCUGAGAAGCGAAAGCGUGGGGAGCGAACAGG
RNAcentral lists this ribosomal RNA (253 nucleotides) under uncultured bacterium. Its description in RNAcentral is "partial 16S ribosomal RNA". It matches the Rfam family "Bacterial small subunit ribosomal RNA", at positions 524 to 776 of the family's 1533-position model. The record is from RNAcentral.